UAGGGAAUAUUGGACAAUGGGCGAAAGCCUGAUCCAGCAACGCCGCGUGCGCGAUGACGGCCUUCGGGUUGUAAAGCGCUUUUAGAGGAGAUGAGAAAGGACAGUAUCCUCAGAAUAAGCCUCGGCGAACUACGUGCCAGCAGCCGCGGUAAAACGUAGGAGGCUAGCGUUAUCCGGAUUUAUUGGGCGUAAAGCGCGUGCAGGCGGUUUGAUAAGUUGGAUGUGAAAUCUCCCGGCUUAACUGGGAGCGGUCGUUCAAAACUAUCAGACUAGAGAAUGGGAGAGGAAGGUGGAAUUCCGGGUGUAGUGGUGAAAUGCGUAGAUAUCCGGAGGAACACCAGUGGCGAAAGCGGCCUUCUAGACCAUUUCUGACGCUAAGACGCGAAAGCUAGGGUAGCAAACGGG
RNAcentral lists this ribosomal RNA (405 nucleotides) under uncultured bacterium. RNAcentral's name for it is "bacterial SSU rRNA". It matches the Rfam family "Bacterial small subunit ribosomal RNA", at positions 355 to 776 of the family's 1533-position model. The record is from RNAcentral.